RNAcentral lists this ribosomal RNA (458 nucleotides) under uncultured bacterium. RNAcentral's name for it is "partial 16S ribosomal RNA". It matches the Rfam family "Bacterial small subunit ribosomal RNA", at positions 338 to 795 of the family's 1533-position model. The record is from RNAcentral.
CCUACGGGAGGCAGCAGUGAGGAAUAUUGGUCAAUGGGCGAGAGCCUGAACCAGCCAAGUCGCGUGAGGGAGUACUGCCCUAUGGGUUGUAAACCUCUUUUGUCGGGGAGCAAAAGCCGGACGUGUCCGGCUGUGAGAGUACCCGAAGAAAAAGCAUCGGCCAACUCCGCGCCAGCAGCCGCGCUAAAACGGAGGAUGCGAGCGUUAUCCGGAUUUAUUGGGUUUAAAGGGGGCGCAGGCGGGAUUUUAAGUCAGCGGUAAAAUCGUGGGGCUCAACCCCAUCCAGCCGUUGAAACUGGGGAUCUAGAGUGUGCGAGAGGUAUGCGGAAUGCGUGGUGUAGCGGUGAAAUGCAUAGAUAUCACGCAGAACCCCGAUUGCGAAGGCAGCAUACCGGUGCACAACUGACGCUCAGGCACGAAAGCGUGGGUAUCGAACAGGAUUAGAUACCCUGGUAGUC